RNAcentral lists this long non-coding RNA (1877 nucleotides) under Oryctolagus cuniculus (rabbit). RNAcentral's name for it is "lncRNA (ENSOCUG00000035760.1)". The record is from RNAcentral. Lineage: Eukaryota; Metazoa; Chordata; Mammalia; Lagomorpha; Leporidae.
AUGUGGAGAUCACAACAGCAUUUCCUAGGGGACUGUUGCGCACUUUUGGAUCGGAACUUACUGGAAACGAAGUGGGCGGCCAGAGGAGGACCGCACGGUGCUCCUGGUGGCCGGGGGCUUUCUGCCCCUUACCUCUCUCUGGAGGGUGGGGGGGACAACAUCAUUGUGCAUGUGUGUGUGUGUGUGUGUGUGUGUAUUUUAAGAUGUAUUUAUUUGAGGGGCAGAGUUACAGAAAGAGGGAGAGAUAGAAGUCUUCUAUCCAGUGGUUCACUCCCCAAAUGGCCACAAUGUCUGGCUAAUCGGAAGCCAGGAGCCAGGAGCUUCUUCCGGGUCUCCCAUGUGGGUGCGGGGCCCAAGCACUUGGGUCAUCUUCCACUGCUGUCCGGGGCCAUAGCAGAGAGCUGGCUGGCAAGUGGAGCAGCCGGGACUCAAACUGGCGCCCAAGGCAGAGGCUUAACCUGCUGUGCCGCAGUGCUGGUCCCAGCGGUUGUAUUUUUCAGAGAAUCCAUCUCUUUUACAGAUACGCACUCAAGAAUCUGUGGACAAAAUGCCGCCCGGAAACCCAGGGCACCGCAGUGCGGGGGCGGAGGCGCGGUGCGGACGCGCGGCUGCGGUCCCUCCCGCCGGUGCACCGGGGCACAGGUGAGCCUGGCGCCCGCGCGCUCCCCCGGCCGCGCUCCGCCCCUGCUCGCGCCCGCCCGGUCCGCAGGUGGCUCCGAGGCGGCCGCCGGGCCGACGCGCGCGGUCAAGGCCGCAGAGCCCCGGGGACGGGCGGGGCGCGGAGCCAAUCCCAGCGUGGGGCGCCGCAGGGCACGGCGUGAGGGAGGAAGCGACCUUGGGCGGGGACUGCGGGGGCCUGGGGCUCCGGGCGGAGGAAGGGCAUCUAAGGUGAGCGUGAGCGGCAGGUGCAGCGCAGGGGCGCGUCCUGCGGCCGAGCCCUGGCGCGGGGGCCGGGGGCCGGGGACUGCUGGGCGGCCAGGCAAGAACCCGCGGGGGGACGGGUGGGGGGACUAAAACCCCAACUUCUGAAUUUACUAAAGGAAAAGCGACGCAGCCUCCCGCCCCGCCCCCGCCCGGGCACUGGCCGGGAGGAAAAGCAUCCCUCUGCUGGGCGUUGGGUCCGCCUGGGCCGGCCAGGGUGGACGCCAGCCGGCACUUCCGGACAGCUGGGCAAGUGUCACCCAGAGCUCCCACGCGCCCGGUGGCCUCGCUUCUGGGAGAGGCGCCCGGGCGCCGCUGGCUCUCAGUUACACCUGCAGUGGCCAGCACUGCGGCCCUCGACGUCCACUGCGGGCCGGCUCCGGGGUCGGGGGCGUCGUCCGGGGCGGGAGGCUGCGCGGCGCCGGCCACCGCUGCCCGCUGGACAGCUGCGCCCACGAGCUCAGCGGGCCGCGCGCGGACGCGCCCCCAUCCCGCCCCGGAAAGCUGGGGCCGCCCGCGCGCGGGGGCGGGAUCCAGGGGUCACUUUCGUUUUCUCUUCUGAGGUCGUCCGCGCGGACGUGGAGGAAGACGGGGGCGAGCGCGAGUCCUCGGCGGCCGGCCGAGGACCCCCGGCGUCGACUCCCCGGGGGGGUCCCCUGCGCUGCCCCGCCCCCCGCCCCCUCUGCCAACUCUCUCUCUGGCCUGUUACGUCCCUGACGCGGGAUUAAUUAUUUUGCUAAGGAAAGCAUCUGCACGCGUGAGCCCCGCCGCCUCCCAAGGAACUGGUCGGGGGUCCGGGCCGUGCGGUGUCGGGCGCUUCGUCACCCCAGGGUGGGAGAUGAGAGCCUCCGCCUACGGGCUGCCGCGUCGCGUGCGCUCUAUUGGGAAAUCCUAUAAAACGGCGGUCUGCGAGCGGGCCCAUUACAAGGAUGUUAUGGUCUAAGUCGAAGUACCUG